CUGCCAGGACCUGCCCGUCCCGUCAUCCUCCGCGCUAAGAUGUCGGCGGCGAUCGCCGCGCUCGCCUCCUACGGCGGCUCCGACUCGGAGCCUGACUCGGAACCCGAGGCCGAGGGCGGCUCCCAGCGCUCCGCCGCCGUGCUCGCCAGCCGCGACGCCGUGCUGCACCUCUGCCCGCCGCCCGUCGCGCCCCCGGCGCUGCCCGUCGAUGCGGCCCCGGAAGUAGCCGUGAAGGAAGAUGUGGAAACAGGAGUCCACCUUGAUCCUGCUAUCAAGGAAGUUCAGUACAAUCCCACUUAUGAAACUAUGUUUGCACCUGAGUUUGGACCAGAAAACCCAUUUAGGACUCAACAAAUGGCUGCACCUAGAAAUAUGCUUUCUGGAUAUGCAGAACCAGCUCACAUCAAUGAUUUCAUGUUUGAACAACAAAGAAGAACAUUUGCAACCUAUGGUUAUGCAUUAGAUCCCUCCAUAGAUAACCCCGAAGUUGCUACCAAGUAUAUUGGUUCUGUAGAAGAAGCUGAAAAAAAUCAAGGUUUAACAGUGUUUGAAACAGGACAGAGGAAAAUUGAGAAAAGAAAGAAAUUCAAGGAGAAUGACGCAUCUAAUAUUGAUGGUUUUCUGGGACCAUGGGCAAAGUAUGUUGAUGAAAAAGAAGUAGCCAAACCAUCAGAAGAAGAGCAGAAGGAGUUGGAUGAAAUAACAGCUAAGAGGCAGAAGAGAGGAAAACUAGAAGAUGAUAAACCUGGAGAGGAGAAGACUAUAUUACAUGUUAAGGAAAUGUAUGACUAUCAGGGGAGAUCUUAUCUUCAUGUCCCACAAGAUGUUGGAGUUAAUCUUCGUUCUACAGUGCCACCUGAGAAGUGCUAUCUUCCAAAGAAACAAAUCCAUGUGUGGUCGGGACAUACAAAGGGUGUCAGUGCAGUUAGAUUGUUUCCUCUGUCUGGGCAUAUACUGUUGUCUUGCUCUAUGGAUUGCAAAAUCAAGCUAUGGGAAGUAUAUGGUGAUCGAAGAUGUCUACGAACGUUUAUUGGACACAGUAAAGCUGUUCGAGACAUCUGUUUUAAUAAUGCAGGCACUCAGUUUCUUAGUGCUGCAUAUGACCGCUAUCUUAAACUCUGGGACACUGAAACAGGGCAAUGUAUUUCAAGAUUCACCAACAGGAAGGUUCCUUAUUGUGUCAAGUUCAAUCCUGAUGAAGAUAAACAAAAUCUCUUUGUUGCAGGAAUGUCAGAUAAGAAAAUUGUGCAGUGGGAUAUUCGAAGUGGUGAGAUUGUGCAAGAAUACGAUAGGCAUUUGGGAGCUGUCAACACCAUUGUGUUUGUGGAUGAAAAUAGAAGGUUUGUGAGUACAUCUGAUGACAAGAGUUUAAGAGUCUGGGAAUGGGACAUUCCUGUAGACUUCAAGUACAUUGCUGAACCAAGCAUGCAUUCCAUGCCAGCUGUGACUUUGUCUCAAAUGGGAAAUGGUUGGCUUGCCAGUCAAUGGAUAAUCAAAUUCUGAUUUUUGGAGCUCAGAACAGAUUCAGAUUAAACAAAAAGAAAAUUUUCAAAGGUCACAUGGUAGCUGGCUACGCUUGUCAAGUGGAUUUUUCACCUGAUAUGAGCUAUGUGAUAUCUGGAGAUGCAGAUGGAAAACUAAACAUCUGGGACUGGAAGACGACAAAACUCUACAGCAGAUUAAAAGCACAUGAUAAAGUCUGUAUUGGUGCAGUGUGGCAUCCACACGAAACAUCUAAAGUCAUCACAUGCGGCUGGGAUGGUCUUAUUAAACUAUGGGACUAAAGAUGAGGCUACAAAUACGUAAAGAUGCAAGUCCUGCACACAUCUGAGAUUAGAAUGAAUUCUGCUGUAAGGAUGGGUAGAUGUGUGUAAUACUGCAGUUCUCAGCUUGCUGUAUAUAUGCACUAAAAUCAAGAAAUCUUCAGAAGACUCAACUGAAAGGAUAUAGUUCUAAAUAUGGCAUCUGGGUAUGAGGAGCUGAGGUCAUCUGAAGCAUGCAGAAUCACAUGUUAGUUUGUCCUGUCACUGCUUGUGAAAAACACUCUUGUAAAAUAAAUAAUUUUACGAAAAACUAUUUUUGUGGGUCUGGCUGUCAAGAGAUGUGGAGAGUCAAAGGAGAAAACCAGCAAUUGUUAACUUUCUUCCAAAAAAAGAAACCUUUGGUACCUACUUCAAGAGCUGGAAAAGAUGUGCUUCUUUACCUGGUUUUAGGUGGUAUUUUGUUGUCACCAAAAUACUUCUGCCUUUAUAAAGCACAAACCCACUUACUGAGAUUUGUUAAUUCAGAGUAGAAAUGAAGAACUAAUCGGAAGCUAUCACUUGCCACGUAAAUUCUGUCAACUGAAGACUGCAUUCAUACCUAGUCUUAGUUUCUGUCUGUAGAAUUAUGAUGAUGACUGACUUUAACCUUUGCCAGUAGUCUUCACUUUCAAGAUUUUGUAAUGGUUGGGUGCUAUGUGUUUGGGUUUUGUUUCCCAUAUGUUGUUUUGUUCCAGUAAGCAUGAAUAUUAGAAAAAAAA
Chiroxiphia lanceolata (lance-tailed manakin) is the source of this 2521-nucleotide RNA transcript. It is a transcript of the gene named cell division cycle 40, with no coding region annotated. The transcript is spliced from 15 exons. Lineage: Eukaryota; Metazoa; Chordata; Aves; Passeriformes; Pipridae. The record is from RefSeq and is a predicted model, not a curated record.